This 61-nucleotide transfer RNA is filed under the name Rhagophthalminae sp. GENSP01. RNAcentral describes it as "tRNA-Pro". Lineage: Eukaryota; Metazoa; Arthropoda; Insecta; Coleoptera; Rhagophthalmidae. The record is from RNAcentral.
CAGAAUAUAGUUUAAGUAAAAUAUUAAUUUUGGAUAUUAGUGAUAAUAAUUUUUAUUCUGA